RNAcentral lists this ribosomal RNA (497 nucleotides) under uncultured bacterium. Its description in RNAcentral is "partial 16S ribosomal RNA". It matches the Rfam family "Bacterial small subunit ribosomal RNA", at positions 28 to 507 of the family's 1533-position model. The record is from RNAcentral.
GAUGAACGCUGGCGGCGUGCCUAAUACAUGCAAGUCGAGCGAACAGACGAGGAGCUUGCUCCUCUGACGUUAGCGGCGGACGGGUGAGUAACACGUGGAUAACCUACCUAUAAGACUGGGAUAACUUCGGGAAACCGGAGCUAAUACCGGAUAAUAUAUUGAACCGCAUGGUUCAAUAGUGAAAGACGGUUUUGCUGUCACUUAUAGAUGGAUCCGCGCCGCAUUAGCUAGUUGGUAAGGUAACGGCUUACCAAGGCGACGAUGUGUAGCCGACCUGAGAGGGUGAUCGGCCACACUGGAACUGAGACACGGUCCAGACUCCUACGGGAGGCAGCAGUAGGGAAUCUUCCGCAAUGGGCGAAAGCCUGACGGAGCAACGCCGCGUGAGUGAUGAAGGUCUUCGGAUCGUAAAACUCUGUUAUUAGGGAAGAACAAAUGUGUAAGUAAAUAUGCACGUCUUGACGGUACCUAAUCAGAAAGCCACGGCUAACUACGUG